RNAcentral lists this ribosomal RNA (179 nucleotides) under Geobacillus stearothermophilus. RNAcentral's name for it is "partial 16S ribosomal RNA". It matches the Rfam family "Bacterial small subunit ribosomal RNA", at positions 1364 to 1533 of the family's 1533-position model. The record is from RNAcentral. Lineage: Bacteria; Bacillati; Bacillota; Bacilli; Caryophanales; Anoxybacillaceae.
GAAUACGUUCCCGGGCCUUGUACACACCGCCCGUCACACCACGAGAGCUUGCAACACCCGAAGUCGGUGAGGUAACCCGCAAGGGAGCCAGCCGCCGAAGGUGGGGCAAGUGAUUGGGGUGAAGUCGUAACAAGGUAGCCGUACCGGAAGGUGCGGCUGGAUCACCUCCUUUCUAAGGA